RNAcentral lists this transfer RNA (91 nucleotides) under Yarrowia lipolytica PO1f. Its description in RNAcentral is "tRNA-Leu (CAG) (tRNA-Leu-CAG-4-1)". It matches the Rfam family "tRNA". From Rfam's summary of the family: Transfer RNA (tRNA) molecules are approximately 80 nucleotides in length. Their secondary structure includes four short double-helical elements and three loops (D, anti-codon, and T loops). Lineage: Eukaryota; Fungi; Ascomycota; Dipodascomycetes; Dipodascales. The record is from RNAcentral.
GACAUCAAAUAUAUUCUGGCCGAGUGGUCUAAGGCGCCAGGUUCAGGUCCUGGUCUCUCCGGAGGCGAGAGUUCGAAUCUCUCGGAUGUCA